CCUACGGGCGGCAGCAGUGGGGGAUAUUGGACAAUGGGGGAAACCCUGAUCCAGCGACGCCGCGUGAGUGAAGAAGUAUUUCGGUAUGUAAAGCUCUAUCAGCAGGGAAGAAAGAAAUGACGGUACCUGAGUAAGAAGCCCCGGCUAACUACGUGCCAGCAGCCGCGGUAAUACGUAGGGGGCAAGCGUUAUCCGGAAUUACUGGGUGUAAAGGGAGCGUAGACGGUAAUGCAAGUCUGGAGUGAAAGGCGGGGGCCCAACCCCCGGACUGCUCUGGAAACUGUGUAACUGGAGUGCAGGAGGGGCAGGCGGAGUUCCUUGUGUAGCGGUGACAUGCGUAGAUAUUAGGGGGAACACCAGUGGCGGAGGCGGCCUGCUGGACUGUAGCUGACGUUGGGGCUCGAGAGCGUGGGGAGCAAACGAGCUUAGAUACCCUUGGUC
Molecule: ribosomal RNA, 441 nt
Filed under: uncultured bacterium
Lineage: Bacteria
Description: partial 16S ribosomal RNA
Rfam family: Bacterial small subunit ribosomal RNA
Source: RNAcentral